This 871-nucleotide long non-coding RNA is filed under the name Homo sapiens (human). RNAcentral describes it as "non-protein coding lnc-LGMN-2:5". The record is from RNAcentral. Lineage: Eukaryota; Metazoa; Chordata; Mammalia; Primates; Hominidae.
AUUCGGCAGCGGCUCGCGGCCCGGAGCCCCCUGGGGCACACGGAGGCCCGGGCGGCCGCGCCCCCGGGGCCGGGCCUCGGGGCGGGGGGUGCUGGGGCCAAGGCGCCGCACGGGCGCCCAACCUCGGGGUGCCGCCUCCACAGGCUGUGGCUGGGGCUGGGGCGCGGGAGGCCCGCGGGGCUUCGGAGAGGGAAACUUAGAGAAAAGUCUUCCACUUGGCUUGGGGCCGCAGGGGAAGGAAGACGCCCUCCGCCUGUGCCGGCGCCGACCGCGGGCCGGCAGGUGGGGAGGCCCAGAGCUGGCGGGGAGUUCGUCCCACUCGGAGCCACAGCCUUGCCCGAGGGAGCCUCGAAAUCGUUCAAGGGCAACCUCAGACCAGAGCCAGGGCGCCUCCUCCACAUUCCUGACAGAUGUGCACGCCGCCUCCUCUUGGAUGCUUCCCGUGACAAGGAGCUCACUCCUCAACAAGGCGGACUGCUCGUCCAUCAAGCCUGGCAUCUAAUUCACCUGUGCCGGGUACCGCAGAUGGAGAACGCCAGACAGCUGACACAAAUGCAAGACCCACAGCAACCCCAGAGGCUGAAUUAUUUCCUCCUGGAUGGGAAUGAGUCAUCUCCUCCGCCGUCUCCCUCAACAGGGCUGUAACAUGUUUCCAAGGGUUUCAAAGCCCUGUUUGAAAACAUGGGCUUUGCGGACAGACCCAUGUUCAACUUCAACCCCAGCGGCUUCUGGGUGGGUGGCCUUGAGCAAGUCUCUUCCCAAAGGCUCAUCUUGCUCAUCUAUAAACACAGUCCUAGACCUCUUUCCCUCCUCUACUGAGAGAUCAUCCUGCAACUCCCAAGAGUACAUGUCUCUAUUGCAGCUAUACUGA